Molecule: long non-coding RNA, 1132 nt
Filed under: Mytilus galloprovincialis (Mediterranean mussel)
Lineage: Eukaryota; Metazoa; Mollusca; Bivalvia; Mytilida; Mytilidae
Source: RNAcentral
AUGGAUCAGAUAGGGCCGUAGAGGGUGUGUGGGUAUGGACAACUAGUGGACAGAAGUUCUCAGUUUCUAAUUGGUUUACACGAACUUCAAAUGAACCGAAUAAUAUGAACGGAAAUGAGAAUUGUCUGCAAAUAUAUAACAAACAUGAUUAUGAAUGGAAUGAUGACAACUGUUUAACAAGACAUAAAUUUAUAUGUAGAAAAACGUAAGUAUUUCUUAUAUUCUAAUUUUGUAUCAUAAUGGGAAACUUUCUAUCGUCAUUUGUUUGUAAUGACUAAGAUGAGCAAAAUAAGUAGAAGCUUGACAUUUUAUCUUUUUAUACAAUUUAAAACACGAAUGCUGAAAAUAAGUAUUUGGAGUGAUGACACACAUUAUUUUAUUUUUAUCCAAACUAAAGCUAGGCCCACCUAUUGUAUGUGCUGUUUUUAUACAAGGUAAUGUACGGUUUUUUGUUUUUUGAUUUGUGUUUGUUUUUUUUUUUUUUUUGCUAUGUAUUUAUGCUUUUGUAAGCAUGAUAUAUUUACACGAUUUUUUCUAGUCAUAGAAAAGUUCAUAUCGUGUAUGCUUAUCAGUGAAUUUCUAUUUUCUUGGGACGGUCGUUUAUCUGUUUUCUCGCUAUAAGCAGAUAGAUGUCAGUCAAUCUCAUUGCAUAAAAUGACAUUUACCUAUUCCUUUGCUUCGUUAUACAAGGAGUUUUACUUGGGGUGCAUAUUGUUAGUUCUCAUUCAGGAGCAAUAUAUCUGAUCAUUUUAACAUCACUGGUUCGGAAAAUGAUCAGAAGGUACACUUUGUAGCAUCAUGACAUUAACACCGUUUUUACACAAAGCAUCUACUGUCUCUCCUUUAAUCUUUCAAAUAAUAAUUUUACUUCAAAACACCAGAAUAUAUGUUUAAAUUAUUAGAUGAAAAAUGUAUGUAUUUCUAUUUCAGAUUGUUGUGAGUUUUGCAUCAAAGAAAGAACUGUCCACUAGCUGACAUAAGAUAUCAAAAUUACAAAGUCAGAAAUUAUAUUCAAAAUUUAGGAAAAUGACACUGAUAUAUCCUCUCUUGUAUUGUUAGAUCUAGAGAUUUUUCGAAAAAAAUAUUACCUUUUUUUUACCUGGCCUGAUCACUCAUUCAAAUUGAACAGAUG